GACGAACGCUGGCGGCGUGCCUAAUACAUGCAAGUCGAGCGGAACUGGGGGAGCUUGCUCCUUCCAGUCUAGCGGCGGACGGGUGAGUAACACGUGGGCAACCUGCCCUGCAGAUCGGGAUAACUCCGGGAAACCGGUGCUAAUACCGAAUUGUUUGGCGCCUCUCCUGAGGCGCCACGGAAAGACGGUUUCGGCUGUAACUGCAGGAUGGGCCCGCGGCGCAUUAGCUAGUUGGUGGGGUAACGGCCCACCAAGGCGACGAUGCGUAGCCGACCUGAGAGGGUGAUCGGCCACACUGGGACUGAGACACGGCCCAGACUCCUACGGGAGGCAGCAGUAGGGAAUCUUCCGCAAUGGACGCAAGUCUGACGGAGCAACGCCGCGUGAGUGACGAAGGUUUUCGGAUCGUAAAACUCUGUUGUGAGGGAAGAACACGUACCAACUAACUAUUGGUACCUUGACGGUACCUCACCAGAAAGCCACGGCUAACUACGUGCCAGCAGCCGCAGUAA
RNAcentral lists this ribosomal RNA (512 nucleotides) under uncultured bacterium. RNAcentral describes it as "partial 16S ribosomal RNA". It matches the Rfam family "Bacterial small subunit ribosomal RNA", at positions 28 to 523 of the family's 1533-position model. The record is from RNAcentral.